CGUGUAGGCGGCUUUGUAAGUUGGGUGUGAAAGCCCUCGGCUUAACCGAGGAAGUGCGCCCAAAACUGCAUGGCUUGAGUACCGGAGAGGGUGGCGGAAUUCCCGGUGUAGAGGUGAAAUUCGUAGAUAUCGGGAGGAACACCAGCGGCGAAGGCGGCCACCUGGACGGAUACUGACGCUGAGACGCGAAAGCGUGGGGAGCAAACAGGAUUAGAUACCCUGGUAGUCCACGCCGUAAACGAUGAGCGCUAGGUGUUGUGGGUGUUGACCCCUGCAGUGCCGCAGCUAACGCAUUAAGCGCUCCGCCUGGGAAGUACGGCCGCAAGGCUAAA
This 332-nucleotide ribosomal RNA is filed under the name uncultured bacterium. Its description in RNAcentral is "bacterial SSU rRNA". It matches the Rfam family "Bacterial small subunit ribosomal RNA", at positions 568 to 898 of the family's 1533-position model. The record is from RNAcentral.